UGCACUGCAUGUUGACUCAGAGACACAGA
This 29-nucleotide non-coding RNA is filed under the name Mus musculus (house mouse). The record is from RNAcentral. Lineage: Eukaryota; Metazoa; Chordata; Mammalia; Rodentia; Muridae.